CUUUCUCCUUUUCGUAGGCGGAGACAGGGGGUCUAGACCCACCCCAUCGAGAAAUAGAGGAAGGGAGGAAAGGGGCCUCCGAGCAAUGGCGGCUGCGGCCGAGGACCGCGGUGCGCGGUGGAACGACCACCAGGAGGGGAAAGGGCAAAAGCCUGCCCCACCGAGGGAAGGGAAGGAAGGGCCUCUGGCCCAAUGGCGGCUCCGGUCGAUGACCGAUUACGGUUGUGGCCGAGGAACCACCAGGUAAGUGGUCUUCUCCCCUUCUUCUUCUUCUUCUUCUUCUUCUUUCUUAUUAUGGUGACCCUUUGUUGAAUUCCAUCCAUCACCGGGUCGAUCGGGAGGAGACGGAGACCUACCUUCGCUCUGAGGAGGUUCUGCAGCCACGAAUCCGGCGGCACAAAUGAGGGCACUGCGAGCCCAAGUAGAGGAAGGAAGACUGUGAAUUCUGCGAUCUCCUUGUGCUAUUCUAACAAAAUCAGAGCGCCUGCGAGGAGAUUCACCGGAAAGGAAAGAAGAGGGGUGGGGCUCCAACGAUGUCGCGCGGCCCUGCCCUCCCUUGCGGUGAGGAUCACAGCCAACUCCACCCAGCUAGUCCACGCCCAAAAACAAUAUCAUAUUCUUCCCUUCUUUAAAAAAAAUUUGUCCUCAAAAUUUGUAUACCCGAGUCUUCAAAAAGUUUCAGAAAAUUGCAGAUGCCUCGACGCACUUCAUCCUUGAGUUUCUAAGUUGCCUCUCUUUCUGAAUGGUUACUCUACUGAAUUUUCACGUGGGGAAUAGUGCUCUUUGUGAUCAAUGAUACACAAGGAAAACUCUUCAUAUAUCAAAUCUUCUUCAACUUGCAAUGGCCCAUACUGACUUGGACUCGAAACGUACUUUCUCAAUAAAAAAAGGACAAAUUUUAUCAUGCAA
Non-coding RNA from Phoenix dactylifera (date palm), 909 nucleotides. The record is from RefSeq and is a predicted model, not a curated record. NCBI's taxonomy places the organism in Eukaryota, Viridiplantae, Streptophyta, Magnoliopsida, Arecales, Arecaceae.